UAACUCCCGCCGGCGACCGGCGCACGGGUGAGUAACACGUAUGAAACCUGCCCGUAGCAGGGGGAUAAGCGGAAGAAAUUCCGUCUAAUACCGCGUAACAACCCGAGGAGGCAUCUCCUCGGGUUUAAAGGAAGCGAUUCCGGCUACGGAUGGUCAUGCGUCGCAUUAGCUAGUUGGCGGGGUAACGGCCCACCAAGGCGACGGUGCGUAGGGGUUCUGAGAGGAAGGUCCCCCACACUGGUACUGAGACACGGACCAGACUCCUACGGGAGGCAGCAG
This 279-nucleotide ribosomal RNA is filed under the name uncultured bacterium. RNAcentral's name for it is "partial 16S ribosomal RNA". It matches the Rfam family "Bacterial small subunit ribosomal RNA", at positions 79 to 354 of the family's 1533-position model. The record is from RNAcentral.